UCUACCUUGGAUUAUUGACGGAAUUUAAUCCGUCACUAAUGUUAGGCGAAUUGAAAGAACCGACAGUACCCUUUUUUUAACACACAAACACGGUACACCCUCACUCUUCUCUCUCGCCGAUCUCUGCCUCCCCUCUUCACCUUCGCCAGUUGCAUGCCUUUGAUACUGACAUCCCUCAACCUCAACACCUCCUUGUAUCUCAAGUCUGAUCUCAUUUCCGCCUCUCAUCCUCAACCUCACCCAAGAUUCAAUCAAGUUCAACACCACACAACAACACCGUUGCAUCAGAAAUCUUGUCUCCUCACUGCUGCCUCAGGUGGAGCUAGCAACAAUUUUUAAGGUUGGGAGGGAUUUUGAUUUAGAAGAUACCCGUAAGUGUGAGUGUACUUGGGGAUAAUCUACCUACUAGUGAAGUUAACUUGUUCGCAAGCGGCGUCCCACUUACUACUUCACUAGCUCUUAGCUCACAUUUUAUUACUUUAGUUUCUUUGUGUUCAAAUGUAGUAAAUACACUUAGAACUAACUUCAUACUUGCUGCAAAAACUCAUAUUUAUAGUAAACUUUAUUCAUAUCACGAUUAAAUGCCAAUGGUUACCUUAUACUCAUUUACGCUAAUGACAGUACUGCAUGUCAGGAAUAUUUUGCCACUAAAAAGAAAAUAUAAUAAGUUUAUGCAUUGUAACAAUUUCCCCAGAACCAUGAACUCUACAAUGAAGAUUGCAGCUUCCUGACAUUUAAAGCUAAAGUGAUCUAUACACUAACUCACAUACCUCCUAGCAUCUAUACAAUAAUCAUGAUCCCUGACACUUAAUAACCUUAAACAAUUGAAGUUUGUCUUCCUGGUAUUUACACCUUAUUAAGAUACAACACAACAAUGCAAUGUUGAAGCAUUUAUGCAGCCCAAUUUAGAGUACAUUAACAACACUAAAGCAUGGUAAACAAUAGGCAUGAAGUUAAAAUAAGAUUCUGCCAAAACAUAAUCCAUUUCAAUCACAAAUGCUAUCUUAAUAGCAUGGUGCAAAGAGAACUUGGUUGUUACAAGUCAUACGUUGUAUUUGACAUGGUGCUUUCAGGGUUUACGAGAAGCAAUAAAUAAUGGUGACAUUGCUGCUGUCAAAAAACUUCUUAAUGAGGGUGUGGAUGCUAAUUAAUGAGGUCUGUAGGCGACAGUUUUCAAUCAAACCGAUAUAGUUUUCAUUCUUGUGGAUUCGGGGGAAAAUCUGGAGUAUAAAAAUGCACAAGGAGAAACACCUUUAGAUUGUGCUCCAGCUACAUUAAUUGCAAUACAAAAUGAAAAUGAAGAUGCAAGAAAGUGGAGCAGUGGACCAAAGGAUUUGAGUAGUCUAAUACUUUUAUUUGUAGUCUUCUUAUGCGGUGCCCCAAAGAAUCGAUGCAAAAAAAUUUCUGUGGAGGCUGGUGGAAAAGGUUCUCUGCCUUAGAAAGAUGUUUAUGGGAAGGCUGGUGGAAAAGGUUCUGCCAAGAAAGAUCUUGGUAGUGGGAGAUCAUCGGAAAAUCACGAUCGAAUUUGCCCGAAUAUUAUGAUAAUUAGUUUAUUUUGUUAGUUUUCUGGUUUAUACGAAUAUUAUUGAAAUAUUUAUGACUUUGUACGAAAAACUAAUUAUGGAUUGUACGGAUAUUAUCAUGAUAUGUGUUGCUUAAUUAAUUUA
This is a long non-coding RNA of Medicago truncatula (barrel medic), 1667 nucleotides long. RefSeq lists it as uncharacterized. Lineage: Eukaryota; Viridiplantae; Streptophyta; Magnoliopsida; Fabales; Fabaceae. The transcript is spliced from 5 exons. The record is from RefSeq and is a predicted model, not a curated record.